UGGCUCAGAACGUACGCUGGCGGCAGGCCUAACACAUGCAAGUCGAGCACCGUAGCAAUACGGAGUUGCAGACGGGUGAGUAACACGUGGGAACGUGCCCUUUGGUUCGGAACAACCCAGGGAAACUUGGGCUAAUACCGGAUAAGCCCUUACGGGGAAAGAUUUAUCGCCUUAGGAUCGGCCCGCGUCUGAUUAGCUAGUUGGUGGGGUAAUUGCCUCCCAAGGCUGGGGAAAAUAGCUGGUUUGAGAGGAUGGCCAGCC
Molecule: ribosomal RNA, 261 nt
Filed under: uncultured Hyphomicrobiales bacterium
Lineage: Bacteria; Pseudomonadati; Pseudomonadota; Alphaproteobacteria; Hyphomicrobiales
Description: uncultured Rhizobiales bacterium partial 16S ribosomal RNA
Rfam family: Bacterial small subunit ribosomal RNA
Source: RNAcentral